This is an RNA transcript of Leptopilina boulardi, 3732 nucleotides long. It is a transcript of the gene named autophagy-related protein 9A, with no coding region annotated. Lineage: Eukaryota; Metazoa; Arthropoda; Insecta; Hymenoptera; Figitidae. The transcript has 9 exons. The record is from RefSeq and is a predicted model, not a curated record.
ACCGAUUUUAAAGAGCCAGAAAUACGCAACACCUACGACUCAAGUAACAUAAUACAAAGAAGAAGAAAAAUGAUCAAACGCAAGCAACGAGUAAAGCUUUUUUAAAAAAAACAAGUGUCUAAAUUAGCAGUGAAUAAUAGCAUACGAUACAAUGUUAGUGUGCAGUUUGGAGUAUCCUCUUGGAGAUAUAGAAUAUAAUCAUCACUGAAAAAGCAGACAGAAAAAUUGCUGACGAAGAAGAAUGGAAGGAACCAUGUAGGAGCAUAUAUAAUUGUAAAACAUAUAUAUAUAUAUUCAUAAAAUGAACAUUAAAAAAAAAUUUAAUAUUAUUCGCCUUACAAUGAAUGAUUUUGGUGUCCAGAAUGUAUGAAAGUAAUGAAUUUGUUUGAUCAUUUGACAUUGCCGAAAUAAACUUGCAUAUUUAUAUACAUGUAUGGAGCAGUCAUUGAAUUUCAUUUCAUUAAAAGUUUAUAACAUGAAAGAAUGAAACGAGACACUGUAAUAACCUGUGUGGAGCCAAACCGCAGAACACAAACGAUGACAACAAUACUCGAUGUCAAUUAUCAGCAGUUGGAACCUUACUCAGAAGGUGAUGGAGAAGAGCAAGAUGAAGAUCGGGAGGAGACGCCUCAAGAAUCUGGCGUGAUGAUCCAUGUUGUGCCAGAGAACAAUAAAACCAGAUGGAAUCAUAUAGAAGAUUUAGAUUCAUUUUUUACGCGAAUGUAUCAUUACCAUCAAAAUAACGGCUUUAUAUGUAUGAUGACUAAAGAAUUUUGCGAACUAGGACAAUUUAUAUUCGUAGUUAUUUUUACUCUCUUCUUGUUCAAUUGCGUUGACUAUCCAAUACUAUUCAGAGAUAAAAUAACAGGAAAUAGUACGUCUUUCAAGAUAAAAAUGACUGAUGCAUUUUUGCCAAUACAAAAAUGUUCUCAAAGCGUGGGCCUAAUUACCUGGAUAUUUAUUUCUGUAGCGACAAUUUUUUGGAUUCUACGAUUAGUAAAAUGUUUAUAUCAUUUGACUCAAUAUUGGGAUAUUAAAUUAUUUUUUAAUACUGCACUGAAAAUUGAGGACAAAGAAUUGCAAAAUGUCACGUGGUAUGAAGUGCAAAAGAAAGUUAGGGAAGUGCAAAAAGAACAAGAAAUGUGUAUUCACAAAAAAGAACUUACCGAAUUGGAUAUUUAUCAUAGAAUAUUAAGAUUUAAAAAUUAUAUGGUAGCUAUGAUAAAUAAAUCUUUAUUGCCAGUGAGACUUAAAUUGCCAAUUAUGGGAGAAGUAAUUUUUUUAACUAGAGGUCUGAAAUAUAAUAUGGAAUUAUUAUUAUUCUGGGGUCCAUGGUCGCCGUUUGAAAAUAAUUGGCAUCUAAAGGAAGAUUAUAAAAAGCAAAAUAAGCGUCAAGAAUUGGCUAAACUUUUAUCGAAACAUAUUCUUUAUGUUGGAGUAGCAAAUUUCAUUUUGUGUCCAUUAAUAUUGUCAUGGCAAAUUUUAUACUUUUUUUUCAACUAUGCCGAUUUAAUUAAAAGAGAACCCGGAGCACUUGGACUACGAAUGUGGUCACCAUUUAGUCGUUUGUAUCUUCGUCACUUUAACGAAUUGGAGCAUGAACUUAACGCUCGUCUGAGUCGAGCUUACCGUCCAGCAAAGAAAUACAUGGAUAUAUUUACAUCUCCAUUGAUCACGAUAAUCGCUCAAAAUAUUGUAUUCAUUAGCGGCGGUAUUUUCAUUAUAAUGUUAGGUCUGACAAUUUAUGAUGACGGUGUUGUAACGGUGGAACAUUUUGUAGCGACAAUGACAGUUUUUGGAACAAUUGCCGCCGGUGCAAGGGCAUUUUUACCCGAUGAAAAUUUAGUCUGGUGUCCGGAAACUUUGUUGACUGCAAUUUUGGCGCACACACAUUAUCGACCAGACAGUUGGAAGGAUCGUGCUCACACACAAGCGACACGAGCACAAGUUGCUCAAUUGUAUCAAUUUAAACUUGUCCAUAUUAUUGAGGAACUUGUUUCGCCAUUAUUGACGCCGUUUAUUUUGUGUUUUCACAUGAGGCCAAGGGCAUUAGAUAUCGUCGAUUUUUAUAGAAAUUUUACGAUCGAAGUCACCGGUGUCGGUGAUGUUUGUAGCUUUGCACAAAUGGACGUACGAAAACAUGGUAAUCCAAUGUGGCAAACUGUCGGUCAAAGUGUAUUGGAUGCACGUGUCACUGGAUUCGAUAAUCAUUAUGGCACCGAUCAAGAUAAACUUUAUCCAUUAUCAAAUCAAUACACUCAGGCUGAAGAUGGAAAAACGGAAUUAUCAUUAAUACAUUUUACCCUUACAAAUCCCGAGUGGAAACCGCCUAGUCAUGCUGAAACUUUCGUAACGGCUCUCAAGGAGAGAGCUCGAAAGGAGGCAGCAACCAAUAUUAAUGAAUUGAAUCCACUGUACACAAGUCUUAAUAGCUUGUCUAGUCUUGGCCCAGGCUAUAAUGAUAUUGUGACGAACAUUAUUCGGAGUGUGAUGCCGAAUCAAUUUAGUGUUCCAAGUAUGAGUCACGCAAUGUCAAAUGAAGCGGGAGCGUCGUCAUCGACGUCAAUGGGUGGAGAUGAAACCUGUAGUGUUAGAUCUAAUAUUCCUCCGCGAACAUUUAUGGGUCGUUUGCAUAAGGCCGAAGGACCUUUGCAUUCCGAUAAAGGAUUACUUUAUAGCUUGCAACAGGGACUGUCAAAUCAAUCGCUUGGUGCUUCAGUAUUCGGUUCCGGACAGGAACUCGUAUCCGAUUUAACAGUUCCGAUCGAAAUGGCGGCUGCCGAUAUGUCCUUAUCUACAUUGUACCUGCAUGAACUUCAUCAUAGACAAGUAAGAAGACGAGGCUACCAUGAGGUAGCCACAAGAAGUAUAUGGCAACCAGGUCCAGUUCAGGAGUUAGCCACACUUCCCGAAGUUAAACAAGAACGAGCACCAUUGCUCUUGCAUCAAGAUUCAUCGAUAAGAAAUAAAAGAGAUUCUUAAACUGACUUUUCUUUUUUUCACUAAUUUGCGCAAUGAUCAUCAAUUAAGAAUAAUAAAAUAUUUUUAUCUACAUUCAAAAAUAACGCUUCUAUUAAUUUGCACCUUUAAAUAAUUAUUUCAUAUCAUUUAAUGGAAAAUAUUUGUUUUUCCGAAUAUUUCCAGCUCACCAAAAUGAAAGUAUUUGAAAUAUUAUCAUUUAAAUUAAUUUCGAAUCGAAUUUAUAAAAACAAAAAUUCGUUAAAAUUAUUACUUCAUUUGUUUCAAGAAAAAAAUCUUGACUUGAAAUAUUUUUUGUUCUUAUAAUACAAAAGUAACAUUUUUGUAAUCAUGGAGAAUUUUUCCGAGAAAAUUUAUAAUUUACGGUGCAAUCGAAGUAUAAGUGAAAAAAUGUUAAAAGAAGAUUUUGUUUACGAUAUUCGACGACCAACAGAAAGAAAAUUCACUAUAUUGGAGCAACGAACAUUAAACUUUGAGUGCAAUAUUUGUUACGAACAGAUCGCAACUCGUCAUUCUUUAUCGACUCAUGUAAAAUUUCACUGUGAAAAUUAUUGUAAAAUUUGUUUUUGGGUUAUUCAACCUUAUGAAACAAUUGAACAACAUAUGGAGAAAUUUCACUAAUUUUUCAAUCUUUUAAAGAAAUAGUUUUAUUAGUUUUAGUUUGUAUUUAACAAAUAACAAUUGCGUGUACGUGUAGAUUAGAAUUUUGUUAAAAAAUGUUUUUAUAAUAAUAAAUUUGACAUUCUACCAAAA